Molecule: non-coding RNA, 38 nt
Organism: Candidatus Rokubacteria bacterium 13_1_40CM_2_68_8
Lineage: Bacteria; Candidatus Rokuibacteriota
Source: Rfam
GGGACCUGCAAUCGUUGCGGCGCAACGAUCGCGAAAGA